RNAcentral lists this transfer RNA (78 nucleotides) under Thermococcus sp. RNAcentral describes it as "tRNA-Arg". It matches the Rfam family "tRNA". From Rfam's summary of the family: Transfer RNA (tRNA) molecules are approximately 80 nucleotides in length. Their secondary structure includes four short double-helical elements and three loops (D, anti-codon, and T loops). The record is from RNAcentral. Lineage: Archaea; Methanobacteriati; Methanobacteriota; Thermococci; Thermococcales; Thermococcaceae. RNAcentral also lists the same sequence under 3 other names.
GGGCCCGUAGCUUAGUCUGGAUAGAGCGCCGGCCCCCGGAGCCGGAGGUCGCGGGUUCGAAUCCCGCCGGGCCCGCCA